CCUACGUGUGGCAGCAGUGGGGAAUCUUGCACAAUGGGGGAAACCCUGAUGCAGCGAUGCCGCGUGGAGGAAGAAGGUUUUCGGAUUGUAAACUCCUUUUAUCAGGGACGAUAAUGACGGUACCUGAAGAAAAAGCUCCGGCUAACUACGUGCCAGCAGCCGCGGUAAUACGUAGGGAGCGAGCGUUAUCCGGAUUUAUUGGGUUUAAAGGGUGCGCAGGCGGAAGAUCAAGUCAGCGGUAAAAUUGAGAGGCUCAACCUCUUCGAGCCGUUGAAACUGGUUUUCUUGAGUGAGCGAGAAGUAUGCGGAAUGUGUGGUGUAGCGGUGAAAUGCAUAGAUAUCACGCAGAACUCCGAUUGCGAAGGCAGCAUACCGGCGCUCAACUGACGCUCAUGCACGAAAGUGUGGGUAUCGAACAGGAUUAGAUACCCGGGUAGUC
RNAcentral lists this ribosomal RNA (439 nucleotides) under uncultured bacterium. RNAcentral describes it as "partial 16S ribosomal RNA". It matches the Rfam family "Bacterial small subunit ribosomal RNA", at positions 338 to 795 of the family's 1533-position model. The record is from RNAcentral.